CUCAACUGGACGAUUUCUACAGCUUACAUAAACUUGGUACUUACGAAGGUAAUGUAGAAUCGGCAGUUGCGACAUCUAAGAACUAUGAAAAUAAGCCCAUCUGGUUAGGAGAAACAUCUUCCGGUUAUGGUGGAGGAACGCCAAAUUUGGCUGACCGAUAUGUAGCCGGUUUCAUGUGGUUAGAUAAACUUGGGGUAUCAGCAUCUAGAGGAAUAAAGGGCGUUUUCAGACAAACGUUUGUUGGCAGUAGCUACGCUAUGGUAUCAGACAGCAACAAUCCAAAUCCUGAUUAUUGGUUGACAGUUUUAUAUAAAAGAUUGGUUGGUAGCCCAGUGUUGACACCACCAAAUACAAACAGUCGUAAUAUCAGAAUGUACGCUCAUUGUACUAAUAGGAACAGUGAUUAUAACUACCCAGCUGGCAGUGUUACUGUUUAUAUGUUAAAUGUUGGAAACACAUCAGUAACAGUUAACCUGGGACACAACCAUCAUAUAGAUCUGUAUAUCUUAACACCUGGAUCUAAAGGAGGACUCGCAUCACAGACUGUGAAAUUAAAUGGAAAGGAACUGUUUCUUGACCACGAUGAUCACUUACCUCCACUACCCGGAUAUAAAAAAUGGGGUGACGUAACCCUUGAAGGACAUA
Long non-coding RNA from Patella vulgata (common limpet), 645 nucleotides. RefSeq lists it as uncharacterized. The transcript is spliced from 5 exons. The record is from RefSeq and is a predicted model, not a curated record. NCBI's taxonomy places the organism in Eukaryota, Metazoa, Mollusca, Gastropoda, Patellidae.